Molecule: ribosomal RNA, 195 nt
Filed under: uncultured Verrucomicrobiales bacterium
Lineage: Bacteria; Pseudomonadati; Verrucomicrobiota; Verrucomicrobiia; Verrucomicrobiales
Description: partial 16S ribosomal RNA
Rfam family: Bacterial small subunit ribosomal RNA
Source: RNAcentral
CCUACGGGAGGCAGCAGUCGAGAAUUUUUCACAAUGGACGAAAGUCUGAUGGAGCGACGCCGCGUGGAGGAUGAAGGUUCUUGGAUUGUAAACUCCUGUCACUGCAGAACAAGGGUGCGUCAUUUAAAAGAUAGCGCAUUUGAUGGUAUGCGGAGAGGAAGGGACGGCUAACUCUGUCCCAGCAGCCGCGGUGAU